AGAGUUCUCCCAACUUAUAUAUACAAAGCUCUGGAAACAAGGUGCAAUACAAACAUUCUGCCCAUAAUUUUCGCAAGCUAAAAGUUGCAUCUACCAGCUCAAAAACAAGUCGCCGACCAGCACUUUCCUACAGAAGUAUUUACAGAAUAUUAAGACCCUCAAAACCACCAUGAGAACCGCAAAGGUAGUAAAGGAAAACAAAACCUCCAUAAAUAAAACUUGCCCUAUAACAGGAUACACGCCCUGUUAAUGCAUAAAGUCGAGACAGAUUACAAGCAGAAGCAAAUUCAAAGAAGCUGAAGUCUAGCUUCUUGCCCAAGAGAUUUCAUGUCUCGAUCUGGUUACUAGAAGACCAGUUCACACUGGUGGGUACAACACCUCCCUGCAUAGCCAUUCUCUCAGAUACAUCAGCUAGUGAUUUCAG
This 424-nucleotide long non-coding RNA is filed under the name Capsicum annuum. Its description in RNAcentral is "long non-coding RNA (CANN_LNC012969)". The record is from RNAcentral. Lineage: Eukaryota; Viridiplantae; Streptophyta; Magnoliopsida; Solanales; Solanaceae.